This 76-nucleotide transfer RNA is filed under the name Bangia fuscopurpurea. Its description in RNAcentral is "tRNA-Ile". It matches the Rfam family "tRNA". Rfam says of the family: Transfer RNA (tRNA) molecules are approximately 80 nucleotides in length. Lineage: Eukaryota; Rhodophyta; Bangiophyceae; Bangiales; Bangiaceae. The record is from RNAcentral.
UAAGUCUAUAGCUCAAUGGUUAGAGCAUACGCUUGAUAAGCGUAAGGUUGAUUGUUCGAAUCAAUUUAGACUUAAC